GUUGAGGUAGAAGUGAUGGUGUUGAGGUAGAUGUGUUGAGGUAGAAGUGAUGGUGUUGAGGUAGAAGUGAUGGUGUUGAGGUAGAAGUGAUGGUGAUGAGGUAGAUGUGUUGGUGUUGAGGUAGAUGUGAUGGUGUUGAGGUAGUGUAUAUGUAUCCAAGCUGUCUCUCUCCAGCUCACACUUCAUAAUAUCCCUGUAGGACUAAUAUCUAAACAUGGUAUACCUCUGACAUCUGUUCUGUUUACUGGUAUCUCUUUCCAUAUAUGUGUGUGUGUGUGUGUGUGUGUGUGAGAGAGAGAGAGAGACAGAGAGAGAGAGAGACACAGAGAGAGAGACACAGAGAGAGAGAGAGAGACACAGAC
Molecule: long non-coding RNA, 362 nt
Filed under: Salmo salar (Atlantic salmon)
Lineage: Eukaryota; Metazoa; Chordata; Actinopteri; Salmoniformes; Salmonidae
Description: lncRNA (ENSSSAG00000114072.1)
Source: RNAcentral